CUGGCUCAGGACGAACGCUGGCGGCGUGCUUAACACAUGCAAGUCGAGCGAGGAGAUCGUUGGAAGUCCUUCGGGGCGGAAGAUGAUGUCCUAGCGGCGGACGGGUGAGUAACGCGUGAGCAAUCUGUCCCAUACAGGGGAAUAACACUUGGAAACAGGUGCUAAUACCGCAUAAGACCACGGAGCGGCAUCGCUUUGAGGUAAAAGGAGCGAUCCGGUAUGGGGUGAGCUCGCGUCCCAUUAGAUAGUUGGUGAGGUAACGGCCCACCAAGUCGACGAUGGGUAGCCGACCUGAGAGGGUGAUCGGCCACAUUGGAACUGAGACACGGUCCAGACUCCUACGGGAGGCAGCAGUGGGGAAUAUUGGGCAAUGGGCGCAAGCCUGACCCAGCAACGCCGCGUGAAGGAAGAAGGUUUUCGGAUUGUAAACUUCUGUCCUUGGUGACGAACACAAUGACGGUAGCCAAGGAGGAACCCCCCGGCUACUACGUGCCAGCAGCCGCGGUAAUACGUAGGGGGCAAGCGUUGUCCGGGAAUGGCUGGGGCGUAAAGGGCGUGUAGGGCGGCAAUUAAGUUCUGAAGUGGAAGUCCUGCUUUUUAAGGUGGGAAAUUGCCUUUUGGAGACUGGUUGGCUUGAGUGCGGAAGAGGUAAGUGGAAUUCCCAGUGUAGCGGUGGAAAUGCGUAGAGAUUGGGAGGAACACCAGUGGCGAAGGCGACUUACUGGGCCGUAACUGACGCUGAGGCGCGAAAGCGUGGGGGAGCGAACAGGAUUAGAUACCCUGGUAGUCCACGCUGUAAACGAUGAAUGCUAGGUGUUGCGGGUAUCGACCCCUGCAGUGCCGCAGUAAACACAAUAAGCAUUCCGCCUGGGGAGUACGGCCGCAAGGUUGAAACUCAAAGGAAUUGACGGGGGCCCGCACAAGCAGCGGAGCAUGUUGUUUAAUUCGAAGCAACGCGAAGAACCUUACCAGGUCUUGACAUCCAGUAAAUCCUGUAGAGAUACAGAGUGGGCUUCGGUCCAUACUGAGACAGGUGGUGCAUGGUUGUCGUCAGCUCGUGUCGUGAGAUGUUGGGUUAAGUCCCGCAACGAGCGCAACCCUUAUUUCCAGUUACUAACGUGUAAAGGCGAGGACUCUGGAGAGACUGCCGGGGACAACUCGGAGGAAGGUGGGGACGACGUCAAAUCAUCAUGCCCCUUAUGACCUGGGCUACACACGUGCUACAAUGGCCACCACAGAGAGGUGCGAAAUCGCAAGGUAGAGCAGAUCUCAAAAAAGUGGUCCCAGUUCGGAUUGUGGGCUGCAACCCGCCCACAUGAAGUCGGAGUUGCUAGUAAUCGUGGAUCAGCAUGCCACGGUGAAUACGUUCCCGGGCCUUGCACACACCGCCCGUCA
RNAcentral lists this ribosomal RNA (1395 nucleotides) under uncultured bacterium. RNAcentral's name for it is "16S ribosomal RNA". It matches the Rfam family "Bacterial small subunit ribosomal RNA". The record is from RNAcentral.